This 2882-nucleotide long non-coding RNA is filed under the name Nicotiana benthamiana. Its description in RNAcentral is "long non-coding RNA (NBEN_LNC020907)". Lineage: Eukaryota; Viridiplantae; Streptophyta; Magnoliopsida; Solanales; Solanaceae. The record is from RNAcentral.
CUGGACAACAAGGAUGUAUUGAAUUGCAUAAGCCUUCAGCUCUGGUUACAACCAAUCUUUCCAAUAUAACAGAAAAACGCAAAUAGCAGAGUUGCAGUUCAAUAUACACCAGCUUGUAGCAGGGGAGGAAAAUGUUCCACCUCAUUCAUAUCCAAAUUUUAUAUCAGUUGAUGGCUUUAAAUGGACUGAGAAAAAUGAAGAGGUGAAACAUCACUGUGAUGUUAUGUAAUUGGAGCUUGAAGCAUCGUUAACAAAGGUUAACAAGAAUUCCAUCCUCGCAUUUCAUACUGAGGCAGUUCAUGUAGGUCCUAACUGUCUGGAGGAUCGACAUUUAACUGAGAGUGAUCACCAGGACACUGUGAUGGAAAUGCUUCAAAGAACAGCAAGUCCUGAUUUGGUUCAAAAACAACACGCUGUCAAUUCUUACACAAAUCAUGCUGCUGCAAAUUUCCAUAAUACAGAAUUAAUACAAUGUGAGUUUGAUCCACAGGGGGGUGAUUGUGGCAGAUCACAACAUAUUCAAGCUAAUAAACACAUAAGGGAAGCUGCAAUUGGCAAUACCAAUGAAGAUGAUGGAAAGGUCACUAGAGAUAACUUGCAAAUGGCUGACAGUUAUCAUCAAAAUAAGUCAUCAGACACAGCGACGUUGAAUAAAUAUCCAAUUAAUGAUCCAAAUGCAAAGGAUCAAAUUGCUAUCAAAUAUUUACAAGUUAACAUGACGUCCAAUGCCAAUCCUAAGUUCAACCAAUCUUUGGUCACAAUGCCUCAAUCAUUUGAGUCAACUGACGAGCAACAACAAUAUGGGCAACAAUCAAUCUCCAUUGGCAACAACAAAGAAAUAGUUCAAGCAAAUAUGAGGAAGCUUGUCAUCAACUCGAAAUUGUGGAAAGACCAACGAGAGUAUGAUGACGAUGAGGGAUGGGGUGUCGGUUUUGCUGCUUUUUCAUCAGAAGAAGACGAUCAAGAAACUGAUCAGGAUAGUGAAGGAGAAGACUUUGAUGUUCCAAUCAAACAAAAAUUCAAUGGGAAACCUGCAACAUCAAAAUCGACCAAUCUGAAUCGUCGAGCAUCUGCGGCAACUACAGCAAAUCAAAACAGCAAAUUGAAUCAUAACGCUCCAGUUUUUGUUCCAACAAAUACUGCAAAAGCAGUUAGUUCAAAUACAGCAAUACCAAAGAUCGACAAAAUUGUAACAGGAGUUCACGUCCAACCAAAACAACACUCAGCCGAAAAAAAUGUUGUUGAUCGAAACACAACAAAGCUGGAAAAAUUUGGGCAGAAUCAGUUUGUCGCCAAUACCAAAGAUCGACAAACUUGUAACGGGAGUUCACUUCCAACCAAAACAACACUCAGCUGAAAAAAAUGUUUUUGAUCGAAACACAGCAAAGCUGGAAAAAACUGGGCAGAAUCAGUUUGUCGCAACUAAACCAGCCAGUACUUUGGAGGAGAGGAAAUUUGUCGAUGGAACGAGGUUGGAUUCUAGUCACAUUUCAGAGCAGCAGCAAGAGGAUGCAAGUAACUCUUCUUCUGCGAAAUGCAACACAAUAGCAGUUUCACAGGUGGGCAAGCUCCAUAUUGUAACAACUAAUCCUUUAUUCUCUUUAGAAGAAAGACAACUACUGGAUGCGAUGUUACGUACAGAUCCGUUAAAUGUUUUAACUCUUGAUAAUUCCAGCACAAGUCAUGGAAACAUGAGUAGGAACAAAUCGCAAAAAUAAAGGCAAAACAAGGCAAUUUCGGGUAAUGUACAAGCUGAAAAAGCAUUGUUAAUUCAAGGCGAUUUUCAAGAUAUGCCAAACCCAAUAUUCACAAGUAGACAUAUUUAUGAAGAAGGGGAGGAAGAGGAUAUCUUAAAGAAAUGUCAGGCCGACGCUUCAAGAAAUGGUGAUUUGUCACCAUUGCAUAGUGAAAGAAAUAACAAGUCGCGUGCAAGGAAUAGAAGCGGGGACGACAGGGUAAUUGAAGACGCAUUCAUAAGGAGACCCCCCAUGAGAAACGCAAAACAAAAAUAGCUCAAUCAAAAAAUAUCUCCAAAGGCCAAAAAACCAUGAACUUUGAAGUAUUUUUGGAAGAAGUUGUGGAGGAAGACAUCAAUAUACAAAUGGAAGUAUUCACAAAUCUAGAGAAAAGAGAGCACCAUGGUGGUUUCUUCGUCUCUUUAUUUUACCAUCUCGUUAGUCUCAUAAUUUGUAAUAUCAUUACAUAGUACGUUAUAAACUCUAUGAUGAUCAAUAAAUUCUUAGUUCUUGCUUCUUCGUUCUUUUUACAUGCUUGCUAGUAGAUGAGGCUUUUUGUGAUGAUAAAUUCUUAGUUCUUGCUUCUUCGUUCUUUUUACAUGCUUGCUAGUAGAUGAGUCUUUUAUUUGCCUCAACAGAAUUAAUAGGAUAAGGCUUACACUGGUUUUUUUAUAUGGGUAACAACACCGGUGCUACCCUUUAUUUACUUUUCCUAAUUGUUGUAAUUUUCUUUUUGAAUAUUAAUAAAUUCGAGCCCUAGGCGCUUGCCUAGUGGAUUGCCCAAAAAAAACAAAUUAAUGCUCAUCAUGGUAAUAGCACAUAAAAUAUAAUUAGCCUACAUGGUACCACGAAAUUCUAAUUUACUUAGCGAAAUUUUCCAUGGCCUUACAGUCAGUUCAAAGACGGUUAACUUUUCUUUUUGUCUGCUUUUCAACUAUCGUCUUACAUUUAAUCAAUAUUGAAAAUGCCUCAUCUUUUGUUUUCAGAAAAUACACCAAUAUCAUCCUUAAGUAAUCAUCAAUCAAAGUCAUAAAAUACCUGGCACCACUCUUGGAUGGAACUUUGUUUGGACCACAAAGUCUGAAUGUAUAUAAUCUAACUUGUCUCUAGUCUUGUGCUCGGCCUUCUUGCUAAACUUUACCCUUA